GAUGAACGCUAGCGACAGGCCUAACACAUGCAAGUCGAGGGGCAGCACGGUGUAGCAAUACAUGGGUGGCGACCGGCGCACGGGUGAGUAACGCGUAUGCAACCUGCCUACUACAAGGGGAUAACCCGUUGAAAGACGGACUAAUACCCUAUAACACAGGGAAUCCGCAUGGAUAUAUUUGUUAAAGAUUUAUCGGUAGUAGAUGGGCAUGCGUUCCAUUAGCUUGUUGGUGAGGUAACGGCUCACCAAGGCAACGAUGGAUAGGGGAACUGAGAGGUUGACCCCCCACACUGGAACUGAGACACGGUCCAGACUCCUACGGGAGGCAGCAGUGAGGAAUAUUGGUCAAAUGGGACGAGAGUCUGAACCAGCCAAGUCGCGUGAAGGAAGACGGCCCUACGGGUUGUAAACUUCUUUUGUAAGGGAAUAAAUAGUCUUACGCGCUAAGACGUUGCAGGUACCUUACGAAUAAGGAUCGGCUAACCCCGUGCCAGCAGCCGCGGUAAACAUACUCG
This 515-nucleotide ribosomal RNA is filed under the name uncultured bacterium. RNAcentral describes it as "bacterial SSU rRNA". It matches the Rfam family "Bacterial small subunit ribosomal RNA", at positions 28 to 529 of the family's 1533-position model. The record is from RNAcentral.